AGUGAACGCUGGCGGUAGGCCUAACACAUGCAAGUCGAACGGCAGCACAGUAAGAGCUUGCUCUUACGGGUGGCGAGUGGCGGACGGGUGAGGAAUACAUCGGAAUCUACUUUUUCGUGGGGGAUAACGUAGGGAAACUUACGCUAAUACCGCAUACGACCUACGGGUGAAAGCACGGGAUCUUCGGACCUUGCGCGAUUGAAUGAGCCGAUGUCGGAUUAGCUAGUUGGCGGGGUAAAGGCCCACCAAGGCGACGAUCCGUAGCUGGUCUGAGAGGAUGAUCAGCCACACUGGAACUGAGCCACGGUCCAGACUCCUACGGGAGGCAGCAGUGGGGAAUAUUGGACAAUGGGCGCAAGCCUGAUCCAGCCAUACCGCGUGGGUGAAGAAGGCCUUCGGGUUGUAAAGCCCUUUUGUUGGGAAAGAAAAGCAGCAGGUUAAUACCCCGCUGUUCUGACGGUACCCAAAGAAUAAGCACCGGCUAACUUCGUG
RNAcentral lists this ribosomal RNA (492 nucleotides) under uncultured bacterium. RNAcentral describes it as "partial 16S ribosomal RNA". It matches the Rfam family "Bacterial small subunit ribosomal RNA", at positions 29 to 507 of the family's 1533-position model. The record is from RNAcentral.